Molecule: ribosomal RNA, 467 nt
Filed under: uncultured bacterium
Lineage: Bacteria
Description: partial 16S ribosomal RNA
Rfam family: Bacterial small subunit ribosomal RNA
Source: RNAcentral
GACGAACGCUGGCGGCGUGCUUAACACAUGCAAGUCGAACGGAAAGGCCCUGCUUUUGUGGGGUGCUCGAGUGGCGAACGGGUGAGUAACACGUGAGUAACCUGCCCUUGACUUUGGGAUAACUUCAGGAAACUGGGGCUAAUACCGGAUAGGAGCUCCUGCUGCAUGGUGGGGGUUGGAAAGUUUCGGCGGUUGGGGAUGGACUCGCGGCUUAUCAGCUUGUUGGUGGGGUAGUGGCUUACCAAGGCUUUGACGGGUAGCCGGCCUGAGAGGGUGACCGGCCACAGUGGGACUGAGAUACGGCCCAGACUCCUACGGGAGGCAGCAGUGGGGGAUAUUGCACAAGGGGCGGAAGCCUGAUGCAGCAACGCCGCGUGCGGGAUAACGGCCUUCGGGUUGUAAACCGCUUUCGCCUGUGACGAAGCGUGAGUGACGGUAAUGGGUAAAGAAGCACCGGCUAACUACGU